GAUGAACGCUGGCGGCGUGCUUAACACAUGCAAGUCGAACGGAACCAAGGGAGCUUGCUCCCUGAAGUUUAGUGGCGGACGGGUGAGUAACGCGUGAGCAAUCUGCCCUUAAGUGGGGGACAACAGUUGGAAACGACUGCUAAUACCGCAUAGGCGCGGACGGGACAUCCCGUCCACGUUAAACGUCCUUUCGGGGACGGCUGAAGGAUGGGCCUGUGGCGCAUUAGCUUGUUGGCGGGGCAACGGCCCACCAAGGCGACGAUGCGUAGCCGGCCUGAGAGGGCGGACGGCCACACUGGGACUGAGACACGGCCCAG
RNAcentral lists this ribosomal RNA (317 nucleotides) under uncultured bacterium. RNAcentral describes it as "bacterial SSU rRNA". It matches the Rfam family "Bacterial small subunit ribosomal RNA", at positions 28 to 334 of the family's 1533-position model. The record is from RNAcentral.